AUUGAACGCUGGCGGCAGGCUUAACACAUGCAAGUCGAGCGGGGGAAGGUAGCUUGCUACCGGACCUAGCGGCGGACGGGUGAGUAAUGCUUAGGAAUCUGCCUAUUAGUGGGGGACAACAUCUCGAAAGGGAUGCUAAUACCGCAUACGUCCUACGGGAGAAAGCAGGGGAGCUUCGGACCUUGCGCUAAUAGAUGAGCCUAAGUAGGAUUAGCUAGUUGGUGGGGUAAAGGCCUACCAAGGCGACGAUCUGUAGCGGGUCUGAGAGGAUGAUCCGCCACACUGGGACUGAGACACGGCCCAGACUCCUACGGGAGGGAGCAGUGGGGAAUAUUGGACAAUGGGGGGAACCCUGAUCCAGCCAUGCCGCGUGUGUGAAGAAGGCCUUAUGGUUGUAAAGCACUUUAAGCGAGGAGGAGGCUACUUUAGUUAAUACCUAGAGAUAGUGGACGUUACUCGCAGAAUAAGCACCGGCUAACUCUGUGCCAGCCGCCGCAGUAA
RNAcentral lists this ribosomal RNA (501 nucleotides) under uncultured bacterium. Its description in RNAcentral is "partial 16S ribosomal RNA". It matches the Rfam family "Bacterial small subunit ribosomal RNA", at positions 30 to 523 of the family's 1533-position model. The record is from RNAcentral.